This 966-nucleotide ribosomal RNA is filed under the name Onchocerca ochengi. RNAcentral describes it as "16S ribosomal RNA". Lineage: Eukaryota; Metazoa; Nematoda; Chromadorea; Rhabditida; Onchocercidae. The record is from RNAcentral.
UUGUUUUUUUAAGUUUUAUUAUUUGGUAUUGUAUAUCAGUAGAAGUUUUUAUCAUAGUUAUGAGUAAUAGAAUUAAAAUGGUUAAAUUGAAUUUGUUUUUUUUUUACGAAAUUAAUAAUAUUUUUAUUUUAGUAUUGAUAUAACGUAUUUUUAUUUCUGUUUAUUUGUUAUUUAUAGGUUAAGUUAUACUGUUUUUGUUUGUAGAUUUUUAAAUUUUUGUUGCUGUUUUAUAAAUGUUGUGUGUUUUACAUAGAUUUUUAUUUUUUUUUUUUUUUUUUGAUUAAUUUUUUAAUUAAUUUAUGAUUUUUACUUUAGUAAUUUUUAUUAUUUUGAGGGGUGUUUGUUUUUGAAUUUAUGUUUUUGAACUGGUUUUGUUGCUAAAUGUUUAUUAAAAACUUAGGUUUUUAUGUAAAAUUGUCUUCUGCUCUAUGAGUUUUUAAAUGGCAGCCUUAGCGUGAUGGCGUAAAAGUAGCGUAAGUGAUUUGUUUUUUUAAUGGUUUCAAGUAUGAAUGAAGUUUUUAGCAGUUUUUUUAUUUACUUUUUAUUUGAAUUAUUUUUUUGAUUAAAAAUUAUUAGUUAAGGUAUUACAAAGAUAAGUCUUCGGAAAUUUUGUUUUGAAUUUUGAAAUUUUUGUUUUUAAUUUUUUCUUGGGGAUGGAUUUUAAGAAAGUUUUAUACUAUUGUUAUUAUUAAAAAUUACUCCGGAGUUAACAGGGUUGUAGACAUAUAAAUAGAUUUUUAUAUUAGUGUGCUGCGCUACAUCGAUGUUGUAUAUUUUUUUUGAUAAUGGAGAGGUUUUUUUUAUUUUGAGACUGUUCUUCUUGUAUAAAAAAUUGACUUGAUAUUAGUUUAGUUCGUCGUGAGACAGAGCGGUUUAUCUUGUGUAUUUUUGGUUUUUGGCGGUGUUAGUACGAAAGGAAUGCAAUGUGGGUUUAUAUUUAUGACUUUUUUAUUUUGAUGGGUUUUU